This is a long non-coding RNA of Bactrocera neohumeralis, 2175 nucleotides long. RefSeq lists it as uncharacterized. The record is from RefSeq and is a predicted model, not a curated record. The transcript is spliced from 3 exons. Lineage: Eukaryota; Metazoa; Arthropoda; Insecta; Diptera; Tephritidae.
UGAUGAUGAUGGUGAUCACAUUAAUUGUGAAAUUAUAAAAAAACAACGAUUCAGAGUGAUUUUCAUAAAAAAGUAAAUUAAUUAAAAUUAUUCGUUAAUCAGUGGAAGCUGAAGUCGUGUUAUAAGUCAAAAUCGUCAAAGACUAAAAAAUAUCCUUCCACAACUACGGAGAACGUUUAGCCAAGAGCACUAAGAAACAAAGCCUAAAAGAAUUUAUGAGAUACAUGCAUAAGUGUGUAUUUGCAAUUACACAAGCUAAUAAUAUUAGCUUAACUUCUUAUACUAAUUUACUAACUUAAUUUAUUCGCAUUAAAUAUUCCCAUACGAAAUCAUACCAGGGGUACUUAAGGCGUUUGAAAUUGUAAUUUGGUAAAGACGUGCCAAAAGCGUCGUUGUCUGAAAGUCAACUGAGAAAUCGUGGAGGGAGAUGACGUCAAGACAUAAAGAAGCCCAGCGUUUUAGGAACUUAAUUUCCAGGUCACGUAAAGUGUCAAUGUUCAGUUGUUUCCCACAUGCAACGCAUAUCUAUGCAGAUGUUUGUUUACGUUUCUAUAUUGAGCAAUGCCAAGAAAACGCAAAGGGGCUGAUUUGAACCGUAAUACAAGUAGGUAGCAGUAUGAGAGAUAAAAGAUCCCAAAGAACCGAGGAACAAAUCCCGAAACAAAAUGCUGAUGCACGUGUGAGCAUGCAGCAAUUGCGUCAAGAACAAUCAGAAGAUACAAGAGCUGAGCGUAAUGAAGUUAUUCGUUUAGAACAACGACAAUCACGCCGUUUCGUAUUUCAGUUUCAGCAGAACAAGGUGGGUCCUUCUUUUUGGAUGCACCGGGUGGAACUGGCAAAACAUUCCUUAUUUCACUAGUUAUUGCUGAAAUACGAUCAGUGUGUAACAUUAAAAAACAAUCGUCCAUGGCCAGCGUGCUGAAACAGUGUAAAAUUAUCAUCUGGGAUGACUAUGGCACACAAACAUUCAAUUCAGGCGUUGAACAGGACAUUGAAAGAUAUUAAAAACAACGACAAACUAUUUGGCGGCACUCUGUUGCUGUUUUCAGGUGAUUUCAGACAAACUCUUCCCGCCAUUCGACGUUCAACAUACGCUGAUGAGAUCAACGCUGGCUUAAAAUCAUCUCCAUUGUGGCGUAACGUAAAAUUACCGGCCGAUUUCUGCACAAUCGCUGAUUCGCAAGAUACUCUCAUUGAACAAAUAGUUCUCGAUGUACACACACAGUACAUAAAUCAUGAGUGGCUUGCAGAAAAAGCUAUUUUAGCAGCAAAAAAUGUAGACAUUGACAUUUUAAAUUUGAAGAUACAACAAUUGUUGCCAGGCAACUUGGUAUCAUACAAAUCUAUUGAUACAGUUUGCGAUGUCAGCGAAGCUUUGAACUAACUGGAUUUGCCAGGCAUGCCACCGCAUAAUUUACAAUUGAAGGUUGGAUCUCCAAUUAUCUUGCUUCGUAAUUUAAACCCGCCACGGCUGUGCAACGGUACGCGAUUAGCCAUUCGAAAAUUGAUGAAAAACGUUAUCGAAGCCAGCAUUUUAAUGGCAAGUUCAAAGGUGAAAACUUAGUAAUACCACGAAUUCCUAUCAUACCUACAGAUGUGCCAAUUCAAUUCAAACGAAUUCUGUUUCUGAUUAGAUUAGCAUUUGCAAUGACAAGCAAAAAAUCCCAAGGCCAAACGAUGUCCAUUUGUGGCUUAAAUUUGAGGACAUCGUGUUUUUCACACGGGCAAUUGUACGUAGCAUGCUAUCGAGCGGGUAAACCAUACAGUUUGUUUGUGCUCGCUAAAGAUGGGCUAACAAAAAAUGUUGUUCACGCUAUAGCAUUACAUGUUUGUUAGUGUUACUGUUGUAAUUAAUAUGUGAUAUGUAAUUUUAAGAAAUUUACUAUAACUUAAAAAUAAUAUUGUUUGACGUUUGUUAUUUUAUAUUCAAUUAUCGUUCAUAGCGCUCCAUGCCUAUUUUACGCAUAUACCACAUACUUACACACUUAUAAUAAGUAAGUUACUUUUUGUCUACACUAGAAUUUAAAACGUUUGCCGGGUCAGCUAGUAUAUGUAUAUACAUAUACGAAAUUAUAAGUGUUACGAUUUUGCUGAAUUGAUGUCCAAUGUCCGAGGUAUGGUCAUUAUAAAAGUAUAAAAUGUAUUUUAGUAUUCAUCUGAGAUUGAACGAAUAAA